UGAACGCUGGCGGCGUGCCUAAUACAUGCAAGUCGAACGCACAGCGAAAGGUGCUUGCACCUUUCAAGUGAGUGGCGAACGGGUGAGUAACACGUGGAUAACCUACCUCAAGGUUGGGGAUAACAUUUGGAAACAGAUGCUAAUACCGAAUAAAACUUAGUAUCGCAUGAUACCAGGUUAAAAGGCGCUACGGCGUCACCUAGAGAUGGAUCCGCGGUGCAUUAGUUAGUUGGUGGGGUAAAGGCUUACCAAGACAAUGAUGCAUAGCCGAGUUGAGAGACUGAUCGGCCACAUUGGGACUGAGACACGGCCCAAACUCCUACGGGAGGCUGCAGUAGGGAAUCUUCCACAAUGGGCGAAAGCCUGAUGGAGCAACGCCGCGUGUGUGAUGAAGGCUUUCGGGUCGUAAAGCACUGUUGUAUGGGAAGAACAGCUAGAGUAGGGAAUGACUUUAGUUUGACGGUACCAUACCAGAAAGGGACGGCUAAAUACGUGCCAGCAGCCGCGGUAAUACGUAUGUCCCGAGCGUUAUCCGGAUUUAUUGGGCGUAAAGCGAGCGCAGACGGUUAAUUAAGUCUGAUGUGAAAGCCCGGAGCUCAACUCCGGAAAGGCAUUGGAAACUGGUUAACUUGAGUGCAGUAGAGGUAAGUGGAACUC
Molecule: ribosomal RNA, 657 nt
Filed under: Leuconostoc gasicomitatum
Lineage: Bacteria; Bacillati; Bacillota; Bacilli; Lactobacillales; Lactobacillaceae
Description: bacterial SSU rRNA
Rfam family: Bacterial small subunit ribosomal RNA
Source: RNAcentral